UCUGUAGCUCAGUAGGUAGAGCAGGGGACUGAAAAUCCCCGUGUCGUUGGUUCGAUUCCGACCGGA
Molecule: transfer RNA, 66 nt
Filed under: human gut metagenome
Rfam family: tRNA
About the family: Transfer RNA (tRNA) molecules are approximately 80 nucleotides in length. Their secondary structure includes four short double-helical elements and three loops (D, anti-codon, and T loops).
Source: RNAcentral